GAGGAUGUAGCUGAGCGGAGCGAGGAGGUAGCUGAGCAGAGCAAGGAUAUAGUUGUGCAGAUUCUUCGGAUUGCCAAGCUGAGGGACAAAGCGUUCAAUUAUGUCCAGUCUGAAAGAUGUGGUACGCCUAAAGAUGGACAACCGUGAGUUGGAAAGCAGUCUAUACACUUUGAGGACAUGUCUCAAGGUGAUCCUCAUGACCAAAGAAGACCAAAGAAUCAUAUUCCUGAGCAUUCGAAGAAGGGUACUCCGCCCUAUUGGUCUUCGGGAUUAUGGUCGAAGCAGAGUAGAUGAAGACCCAACAGCCAUUUUCCUGAUUGACCGAAGAGGGUACCCCGCCUUAUUGGUCUUCGGGAUUAUGGUCGAAGCAGAGUAGAUGAAGACCCAACAGCCAUUUUCCUGAUUGACCGAAGAGGGUAUUCCGCCCUAUUGGUCUUCGGGAUUAUGGUCGAAGCAGAGUAGAUGAAGACCCAACAGCCAUUUUCCUGAUUGAUCGAAGAAGGGUAUUCCGCCCUAUUGGUCUUCGGGAUUAUGGUCAAAGCAGACCCAGAAGCCACACUCCUGAGAAUCCACUGAGGGCACACCGCCCUGUGGAUACUUGUCUUCGGGGAAAUCCAUCUAAAGUUGCAGCUUCAGAUGGAAAGCAGCUGAGGAGUCCGACAAAGCCGUUGCAGUACUUCAGCAGAAGCAGAGCUCGUGGACAUUGCAUGCAGAUGGAUAUUCUAUUUCGAACAUCAGUACAUCAGGCUAUCAAGGGG
RNAcentral lists this long non-coding RNA (758 nucleotides) under Panax ginseng (ginseng). RNAcentral's name for it is "long non-coding RNA (PGIN_LNC001182)". Lineage: Eukaryota; Viridiplantae; Streptophyta; Magnoliopsida; Apiales; Araliaceae. The record is from RNAcentral.